This 320-nucleotide ribosomal RNA is filed under the name uncultured eukaryote. RNAcentral's name for it is "partial 18S ribosomal RNA". It matches the Rfam family "Eukaryotic small subunit ribosomal RNA", at positions 1470 to 1796 of the family's 1831-position model. The record is from RNAcentral.
CCCCUAGAUGUUCUGGGCCGCACGCGCGCUACACUGAACAGUUCAACAAGUCUUAACCUUGGCCGAUAGGUCUGGGUAAUCUUUGAACGCUGUUCGUGAUUGGGAUAGACCUUUGCAAUUAUGGGUCUUCAACGAGGAAUUCCUAGUAAACGCAAGUCAUCAGUUUGCAUUGAUUACGUCCCUGCCCUUUGUACACACCGCCCGUCGCACCUACCGAUUGAAUGGUCCGGUGAAAUCUCGGGACGGCGGCUUGGUCGCUUGCGUCCGACUGCUGAAACUUGAUUAAACCAUAUCAUUUAGAGGAAGGUGAAGUCGUANCA